This 737-nucleotide ribosomal RNA is filed under the name Limnonectes kuhlii (Kuhl's wart frog). Its description in RNAcentral is "partial 12S ribosomal RNA". The stretch from base 1 to 491 matches the Rfam family "Bacterial small subunit ribosomal RNA", at positions 840 to 1533 of the family's 1533-position model. Lineage: Eukaryota; Metazoa; Chordata; Amphibia; Anura; Dicroglossidae. The record is from RNAcentral.
GCCCUACCGUAAAAUAUUAACUUACCAACACGCCGGGGUAUUACGAGCCUAGCUUAAACCCAAAGGACUUGACGGUGUCCCAUCCAACUAGAGGAGCCUGUUCUAUAAUCGAUAAUCCCCGAUACACCUAACCCCAUUUUGCAAAUCAGCCUGUAUACCUCCGUCGCAAGCUUACCAUAUGAAUGCUUAUAGUAAGUUUAAUGGUCAUACACCAACACGUCAGGUCAAGGUGCAGCUCAUGAUAGGGUAAGCAAUGGGCUACAGUUUCUAAUAUAGAAUAUACGAAAUGCUGUAUGAAACACAGACAUGAAGGCGGAUUUAGCAGUAAAAACGAAACAAUAUGUCCUUUUUAACAAGGCCCUGGGACGUGUACACACCGCCCGUCACCCUCUUCAAUAGUAUAAAACGUUUUUUACAACCUACCACAUUCUAGAAGAGGCAAGUCGUAACAUGGUAAGCGUACCGGAAGGUGCGCUUGGAUCAUCAAAAUAUAGCUUAAGCAAAGCCUCUCGCUUACACCGAGAAGAUGUCCGUGAAAAACAGACUAUUUUGAACCUAAAAUUAAGCCUAAUCUCAACUAAUGUAACACAACCAUAAUAAACCCUAAGUAAAACAUUUUAACAAUUUAGUAAAGGUGAUUGAAAGACUUAUUAGCGCUUUACUAUAAGUACCGCAAGGGAAAAAUGAAAUAGCUUUGAAAUAGACCUUAAGUAAAACACAGCAGAGACCACCUCUCG